AGCUUGUUUCCAUACUAAGAGAAUGACUUUGAAUAUCCAAAUGAAUUGACAAACAAGCUAACAUAUUAUCAAACAAAAGUUCUUUGAGUUCUAGGCUUGUGUCUUCCUCUUCUGUCAUCUUGUCUUCCUUCCCUUGUUCAUGUCAUGGUUCCUUGAUAAACAAAUCUUCCUUAGGUAACAAAACAAAAAUAGACCAGUUAGUAUUUUCUUUUAAUGACAAAUCAGGAUGUUCUCUUAUUUUUCUUUUUUCUCUUCUCUCUCUUUCUUUUCUUUCUCGUCUCUGGCUUUUUUUUCUUUCUCUGCUUUUUCUCCAUUUUCUCUUUACUCACACUCUCUUCUUUUUUUUCUCUCUUUUCUCUUUCUUCAUACUCUCUCUUUUCUUUUUCUUCUUUUUCUCUCUCUUCUCUUUCUUCCAUUUCUAUAAGUUCUUUUCUUUCUUGUGCUCUUUUAAGUUUUUGCUCUUGUCUCUUUUUCAAUGCAUCCAAUUUUUGCACAACUCUUUCUUCUUCCUCUUUCAAAUCUAAAAUAUAGUUUUUGAGGUCUUCAUUACUCAUGGGACUUGCAUUCCAAUUAGGACAUUGAUGAGUUUCAUGCACAUAGCCUUCACAUUUGGAACAUCUUAUAACACUUGAUCUAACCCUUGGGAAAUCAUUUUUGUCAUGUUUGUACUUCCUUUUAAUACUAAAAAUUUCAGCAUUCAACUUUAUAAUUCUAGACACCAAGGCAUUGACAUUCCUCACCAAGACCUCAUAAGCACACAACUUCUAGAAGGAUGUCUCACUCAUCUAAGUGUUUCAUUCAAACUUCACUCAUGUAUCACACUUAUAGGC
Molecule: long non-coding RNA, 830 nt
Filed under: Vigna radiata
Lineage: Eukaryota; Viridiplantae; Streptophyta; Magnoliopsida; Fabales; Fabaceae
Description: long non-coding RNA (VRAD_LNC018184)
Source: RNAcentral